This is a long non-coding RNA of Beta vulgaris subsp. vulgaris (sugar beet), 944 nucleotides long. RefSeq lists it as uncharacterized. The transcript has 4 exons. Lineage: Eukaryota; Viridiplantae; Streptophyta; Magnoliopsida; Caryophyllales; Amaranthaceae. The record is from RefSeq and is a predicted model, not a curated record.
CUCCAAAAAUUUUAGCCCAAGUGCUCCCAACUAUCACUGAAGUAUGACUCCUGCGCUCCAUGUGUUGCAAUUGCAAUUCAGGAAAAAACCCUAAUUUCGAACCCCAAUUUCACCAUCUUCAUACCUCUCAUUCUUUCUCCUCUACCUCCACUUUUUUCUAAUCUCUCCGUUUCGAACUUCCUCAUUGUUCAUCAAUGUCGCUGGAUCUGGCAAUCAUUUUCUCGUUCUUUAUCGCAUUAGCCUCAAUAUCAAGGAUCUGAAUUCAUUGAGUUACAGAUAUGGUGGUGUAAUGGAGUAAUCGAUGUUGUCGAUGGCUCGAGAUUCUCUAAUUUCAGCUAGGAACUCAAAAUGUCUGAUCUGUACCAUAAGCUUUAUGGAAGGACCAUAUUGUGGUCUUGUGGAGGAAGCGCCUAAUACUUUGAGGAUUCGAGAGUCCAGAGUUGGAGACCCAAACCUCCUGGAUUGAAAGUGACCUUCAACCAAACCGAAGGCUCGGCAUCAAUAUUUCAAAUCACUAGGCGAAGAAGAAGAAUGCCAUGUAUCAUGUAUGAGUUAUGACUUACUACGAAUAAAUGAGAUUGGUUAUAAAUGUAUCUAUACCAUUUACAUAAAAAUAUUACCUCCGGUUUUUAUUAGUUUAUUCGUAUUCCUUUUUGGGAUGUCUUUUAUUAAUUUAUCCAUUUCUUUUGUUUCUAUUUUUGGAAUGGGACCACUAACUUUCUAUCCUACAUACGUUCAACUUUAAUAUAAAAUACUGUAAUAGUUUCUCUUUCUUUCUAUGUCUCACAACAUUGUUUCUCCUAAAAUUGUGCAAAAGAAAUGAGUAAACUAAUAAAGACCGGAGAGAGUAUUUACUACCUUUGAAUUUGAUAUUUCUUGUGUCUAAAAUAGUUGGGUUAAAUUUGAAAUCAUAAUGUUAGUUAGCAGUGAUCGGAUUUAGAAUA